GACGAACGCUGGCGGCGUGCUUAACACAUGCAAGUCGAACGAAGUGGCGAACGGGUGAGUAACGAGUAAUCACCCUGCCCUUCAGAGGGGGACAACAGUUGAAAACGACUGCUAAUACCGCAUACUGAAGGAGGGGAUUGCGUCGGAUUAGCUAGUUGGAGGGGUAACGGCCCACCAAGGCGAGGAACAGUAGCCGGUCUGAGAGGAGGCACGGCCACAUUGGGACUUAGACCCGGCCCAGACUGCUACGGAAGGCAGCAGUGGGGAAUCUUCCGCAAUUGACGAAAGUCUGACGGCGCAACGCCGCGUGGGUGAUGACGGCCUUCGGGUUGUAAAGCUCUGUUAAUCGGGACGCGGUACCGGAAUAGAAAGCCACGGCUAACUACGUGCCAGCAGCCGCGGUAAUUC
This 408-nucleotide ribosomal RNA is filed under the name uncultured bacterium. RNAcentral's name for it is "partial 16S ribosomal RNA". It matches the Rfam family "Bacterial small subunit ribosomal RNA", at positions 28 to 526 of the family's 1533-position model. The record is from RNAcentral.